UACAAACUUGUAAUAUGAAAAUAUUUGCAGACACCAAUGGCAGAUAUUCACAAAACUUUGAAUUGGCUUUUACUCAUAAAAAUGAUUCCUAACCCAAUUAUCUAACAGGCUAAUAAUACAUUCACUAAUCUAGUAGAACAAAAAAUAAGAGUUCCCCUGCACAAGGGCAGGGAAAAAAGCAAAAAAACGGAAAGUAGGGAGGGGGUUACAAGGAAGGAAGAGACGAUCCUGUACACAUACCUCUAUAUUCGUCUCUUUCCAAAGAAAAUAGUGAAAAUACCCUCUAAAAACAGCGGUAAUAUACAAGACCUGUGAAAUGAAUAAGUAAGCAAUAAUGCCUACCAAUACAAUUUUUCCUAAAUUUUAACAGGACCUACUGAAAACAAUGGAUAUCUAUCUCCAUAUUCCAAAGCCCUCAUGUAUGACCAGCAUCAUCUGCAGACAAACCAUAACAAAAUUGAAGUCUUCUUUUCAUUCAGCCAUGAGAAAUAUAGAUAAAUACAACAUUAAAAAAAAUAAAAAUUGAAGGUCAUAUUCACAAAAAGGAAAAAAGGAUGCACAAUUAAUAGGAACCUCGGAUCCAAUUUCAAGAGUGGAUUUCCUCUAAGAGAAAACAAUAACGGCAUCCCAACAUCGGAUAUGUGCAAUACAUAUUACAAAAGAAUAAAUUUUCAUCAGUGAAUUCUCUAGGAGAAACAAUCACCAUAUUAAAGCAUAAAUGUUAGUCAAGUGAGAUACUAUUUGCAUCUAAAAAUCGUUAUGGUCAUUUGAGGGGCCCAGUAUGUAUGUAUGGUUAUGGUAGCAGCGGGGAAGUGAAAUUAGGCCCAUGAAGGCAGAAGUGAGGAGUGGAACACGUGAAUGUGAUUGAAGGAGGGAGAAUAACAAAAAUGACAAGUAAAGGAGUUGGGAGGGAGGAAAAUUGGAAUCAAUAUUAGCUAGCCUGAAUGACUCUUCCUUAGGAAAGGGAGAUUUUCACUUAUUUUCUUAUUUUUUCUUAUUUUCUUGAGUCGCAGCCCUGUAACAGAUUUAUACCUCUGACAAGCUCUACUUCAGUAUCGACAUUGCUUUAGUUUUACCAUUCCAAUAUCAAAAAGAAAUAUUAUUUGCAUUUAAAAAAUUCCAUUGUCUUUUACAUACAUAACUGCAUCAUAGUUAACAAUGUCAGAUAUACAAAUUGGAUGGCUGCUACAAUACGAACUAAAUAAUUUAUACACAUAAUAAAAGAAAUUAAAGAAAUUCAGAAUAAAUAUGUCACGGUUUACACUAACAAUCAACACCAAGGCUAGAGUAAUAAAAUGUAGGAAUGAAGGGGAAAAAUUUGAAGAUGAUGGUGAAAUUAUUAGGAAGGAAAAACAGAAUAACUGAGAAAAAUUAGGAAAAAACAGUGCCAACAGAGACCAGUGAUUGGUCAGUGGCCAUCAAAAUACAUUAGCAAGCAGUGAGACUGAGUUAGAAAACAACAUGAAUCAAGGCAAACUUAUGUUGAUGGAGAAAGAAACCCUACAAUGCUUCUAAAGCACAAAGCACUACAAAAUGGAAGAAAAAUCAUAUGUUUACCCAAAAAAUAAACUAAAUGUAGUUUCAGGGCUAAAAAUGGGAAGCCCGUCACAGUGGCACUACAAUAGCACAUAAAAGCUACAUUUCUGGUAAC
RNAcentral lists this long non-coding RNA (1651 nucleotides) under Phaseolus vulgaris (common bean). RNAcentral describes it as "long non-coding RNA (PVUL_LNC001546)". The record is from RNAcentral. Lineage: Eukaryota; Viridiplantae; Streptophyta; Magnoliopsida; Fabales; Fabaceae.